This 557-nucleotide ribosomal RNA is filed under the name Sphingobium sp. StTD646. Its description in RNAcentral is "bacterial SSU rRNA". It matches the Rfam family "Bacterial small subunit ribosomal RNA", at positions 102 to 694 of the family's 1533-position model. Lineage: Bacteria; Pseudomonadati; Pseudomonadota; Alphaproteobacteria; Sphingomonadales; Sphingobiaceae. RNAcentral also lists the same sequence under 1 other name. The record is from RNAcentral.
ACGGGUGCGUAACGCGUGGGAAUCUACCCUUGGGUUCGGAAUAACAUCGGGAAACUGAUGCUAAUACCGGAUGAUGACGUAAGUCCAAAGAUUUAUCGCCCAGGGAUGAGCCCGCGUAGGAUUAGCUAGUUGGUGAGGUAAAGGCUCACCAAGGCGACGAUCCUUAGCUGGUCUGAGAGGAUGAUCAGCCACACUGGGACUGAGACACGGCCCAGACUCCUACGGGAGGCAGCAGUAGGGAAUAUUGGACAAUGGGGGCAACCCUGAUCCAGCAAUGCCGCGUGAGUGAUGAAGGCCUUAGGGUUGUAAAGCUCUUUUACCCGGGAUGAUAAUGACAGUACCGGGAGAAUAAGCCCCGGCUAACUCCGUGCCAGCAGCCGCGGUAAUACGGAGGGGGCUAGCGUUGUUCGGAAUUACUGGGCGUAAAGCGCACGUAGGCGGCGAUUUAAGUCAGAGGUGAAAGCCCGGGGCUCAACCCCGGAAUAGCCUUUGAGACUGGAUUGCUUGAAUCUUGGAGAGGCGGGUGGAAUUCCGAGUGUAGAGGUGAAAUUCGUAGA